Molecule: ribosomal RNA, 497 nt
Filed under: uncultured bacterium
Lineage: Bacteria
Description: partial 16S ribosomal RNA
Rfam family: Bacterial small subunit ribosomal RNA
Source: RNAcentral
GAUGAACGCUGGCGGCGUGCCUAAUACAUGCAAGUCGAGCGAACAGACGAGGAGCUUGCUCCUUUGACGUUAGCGGCGGACGGGUGCGUAACACGUAGUUAACCUACCUCUCAGACUGGGAUAACUUUGGGAAACCGGAGCUAAUACCGGAUAAUAUUUCGAACCGCAUGGUUCGAUAGUGAAAGAUGGCUUUGCUAUCACUUAUAGAUGGACCUGCGCCGUAUUAGCUAGUUGGUAAGGUAACGGCUUACCAAGGCAACGAUACGUAGCCGACCUGAGAGGGUGAUCGGCCACACUGGAACUGAGACACGGUCCAGACUCCUACGGGAGGCAGCAGUAGGGAAUCUUCCGCAAUGGGCGAAAGCCUGACGGAGCAACGCCGCGUGAGUGAUGAAGGUCUUCGGAUCGUAAAACUCUGUUAUUAGGGAAGAACAAACGUGUAAGUAACUGUGCACGUCUUGACGGUACCUAAUCAGAAAGCCACGGCUAACUACGUG